UCUGAUGUGUUAGUAGGAUGUGGGUUGUCCUUUAUCCAUUGCGUUGGCAAACCUGAACUGCUGAAAAGCAGUGUUCCAGGAGCCCUCUAGAACAUUUUGACAAUGUGAAUUAUAUUCGAAUUAGCAAUCUAAGCGGCUCAGAGCCGACAAAAACUCCCAGCCAUGGAAGAGUCUUGGAAAAUCUGAUUUUGGUUCAGAGCCUGUUUAAGGGGUUCUUGUCUUCGGUGUUGCCUGACAGCUUAGGCUUCAAACUUUUCGUCAGAAAAGGAAAAUCAUUCCAGGUGUGUGGUUGAAAGUAGCCUGCUGCAAGCAGUGAAUCUAGUCUGACUCUCUUUUUUUUUACUUUUUAAAUCAUAUGAUUUUUUUUGAACUGAAUAUAUAUACUCAGUUUGUUUUAAUGUGUUUUCUCAAAAAAAAAAAAAAAAGAAAAAGAAAAUCCCUGAAAGUGAAAUUGAUGCUUCUCUUAGAAACACCAUGUUUUAUUAUGUGAAUUUAUGUUCGUCCUGGCAUGUUAUUGCAAAGGCUCAGGCCAAUGUAGAGGUUCUGUAGUUUGUACUUUCCUUGGCUUUCUAGAUAUUUUGAAUCUGAAGGUCAUUCUGGCACAAUGCAGCUCAUGAACUGGCUAUUGGUGUUUUUGUUUUGUUUGCUUUUUUGUCAGUAAAAGAGUACAGCCCACGUUUUAAAAAUUAGGAGAUCUCAUAGAUGGGUGUAGAGCUUUCAUUUCAUUUGAAUUUAGCUUCAGGGGAACCUUUGGCAGAAGCUGAGGAGCAAAUGGCCAUCUCCAGAGAGGACACCCACCCCUUCCCCCUCCCCUUCCUGGCCUUAUUUUGAGUGGCUGCACUGUUCCCACCUCCUGGCUCAGGUAGCAUUGAAAUUUGCAGCUCCCUUAGUACCUUAGCCCAGAGCCUCCACAGCUGAUGCUGGAGGUUGCUUCCAGGUGGGUUGAGAUACCAAUUCUUCUUAGACAAUUGAGGAUGAUGCGAAGGAGAUGGGGAAGCUCUGAGUUUACCUUUGUGGGAACUUCAUGGGUGGCCUGCCCUCCACCACCCCCCAAGAUGCCCAGAGGGUUGUGGGCCCAGGGAAUUUUUCACAGGAGGGCUUCCCUGUGUUUAUACCACCCUGUGGAGAAUGGUCAUCUCUUAAAGGCCUUCUGCAGAAUUAGAAGAAAUAAAGGUUCCUUACCAAGUAGAUCCUCCCUCUGAAGUCAAAGGUUUUAUGGUCAGUGAAUCAUGUCUGACUAGAAUGGAGCAGGCAAGGCAGGGAUACUUGGUAGACGUCAUAUGAUUGAAAUCAUAACUUUACAUGUAAUUCUUUGGGAAACAAUGAGGCUCCAUGAGACUUACAGUACAUGAUUGAUUUUUAGGUCUUGCCACUUGGCAGUAAACAUGCUGCAAAAAUUCCUUAAGUGUACCGUGAGUUCUUUUACCACUUUUACCCAUGAUGAAAAUGAUCAACGCUGCUAAUCACACGGGUUGCCUCAGAAGCAUGCCUAAGGACAAACACGUAAAGAGCAACAGUAAGACGGAGUGGAUGAAACUGUUCUUGUCAGUAGGUUUGACAUUUAGAGAUUUAGGAGGAUUGCUUGGCCUGAGUUUCCAAAUGAUGCUGUCGCAUAAAAUACUUGGCUGUGUUCAGUUUAAUGAUGUAUAUAUUGUCCAAUGCAUUUCCCAUCAGCAGCAGAGUAGACGUGUGAUGCAGAUUCUGUUACAUGUUAUUUUAUCUACUUAAAGACAGCCAUGCUUUGGGACAUAAAGUGGAUGUUGGGACGUAUUUCUGGUCCUCUGGGAAUCUUUUAGUUUUAACAGGCUGGGAGGCUUAUGGAAAGCCCUUGACACUUAAGUUCAGGCAUGGCCGUGCGUGAAAGACAGUGCUUUUGGAAGAUACACUCGACACGCUUGCGAUCGCUUUGCAGGAGUUUCCAAAGAUCUGAAGAUUGAUGAUCCGGUGAGAGAAAAAUCAGGGACUAGCAAGCCUCACAUACAUUCUGCACAAUUUUAGCUCUCUAAGGGGCUGACGACGAUGCUCGUUUAACAGGACGUGUUGUGAUAUAAUCACAUCCAGAUACGUGAAAUGCUAGAGCAGAUACGAAAACAUACAUUUGGGGAGUUUCGUGGUAGGCCGGUCAUUAAGGUCUCUAUAAAAUACAGUUAGAGGCCAGGAAAAUUCCUGGGGUGUGGUAUAAAGCUUUGACAUGUAGGACUUUGACCAGUGCUGCUUCAUGGAGCUAUAAUACGAGCUGCUUGAGUAAUUUUAGGAUUCCAAAUUGCCAUGUUAGAGCAUAAAAAGAAAUAGGUGAAAUUAAUUUUAAUCAUGUAUUGUAUUUAACCCUGUCUAUCUGAAAUAUUGUUCUUUCAUCACAUCAUCAAUAGAAAAUGAUAAAUGAAAGAGUCUAAGUUAUGUUUUUUUGGUAAAAGGUCUUCAGAAUGUGGUGUGUCUUAUUUCACACUUGCAGAGCAAACUGGUUGGGAACCAGCUGUGUUUCAGAUGCUCGGCAGAUGUGACUGGUCGGAUGUGGAGUAACUACCAGGAGUCUGUAGCCUUUCAUUUAUUUAUUGGCCACACUCACAACAUGUGGACGUUCUUGGGCCAGGGAUCAAAUCCGAGCCACAGCAAGACCCGAGCUGCUGCAGUGACGAUGCCAGGCCCUUAACCCAUUACACCUACACCGUCAGGGAAUUCUGUCUGUGGCUUGUCGUUUCUUCAGUUCUUUGAGUAGGGAUUGUUAUGCUGGUCCAGUUUAUCCUUUUGUGGUCAUUUUUAAAGAAAAAUUCUGAAAUCUGUGCUUUCUAAAUCCUAGAGUCCGCCUUUAUUUUUGACUAGACCAGGGACUCCGUUGGAAAGAGGAGGAAGGAAGAUGCGUACUUGUUGACUCAGUGAAUAAGAGAUGAAGGCUCAUAGGAAAAGAGUUCACGGUGUGGAUUUCCUCAUAAUUAAGGGAAUAUUCAGAUGACAUUGCAGAGGCAGCAAAAGAGAGGGUGUAGAAGUGGUUGAAAAUCAAAGUCCGACCAAUCCUGGAAUAGAUAAAUAUAAAGUCAAUAUGUUUUAGUAAAUAGAGCCAAAAAAUCUCCGUCAACAGGAAUUCUGGAUGAUGGGUUUUCAGAAUGGUCUUUAUUUCUGUAGGUUUUAGUUUACGUGGAUCAUAUUAUUAUGAAAAGUUGUCACCCACCUCCUGUUGCUUGAUUCCCUGUAAAAGAGAGUAAGACAUAUUAAUGUGUGUUUUCUGGAAAUCUUGUUGUCUUUAGUAACUAUUUCUCUUUCCUUGAAUUAGUGUAAUUUAAUAACAUAGGAUAUCCAGAGAGGUUUAUGGGGCUUUUUCUCUAAUCUCCUGGCUCCAGCAGAUUCUGUAGCCUAGUAUUAUUGCUUAGUUCUGUGUCCUUAAACCGAAGUCGUGCUUACAAUAAAGAAAAAUAAUAAUUUAAUCACAACUGCUAUUUUUUUUUGGUCUUUUUUAGGGCCACACCCUCGGCAUAUGGAGGUUUCCAGGCGAGGGAUCAAAUUGGAACUGUAGCCACCAGCCUAUGCCAUAGCCACAGCAACACAGGAUCCAAGCCGUGUCUGCCACCUACACCACAGCUCAUGGCAAUGCUGUAUCCCUAACCCACUGAGUGAGACCAGGGAUUGAACCUGCCUCCUCAUGGAUGCUGGUCAGAUUCAUUUUCGAUGAGCCACCAUGGGAACUCCAUAUAAGUACCAUUUUUAGUGUGUCCCUUGGAUUCUCUAGAUGUAACAAACAUACUGCAAGGUAGGCAUUAUUUUCGCUCUUUUUUUGGCUAUUGAAAACCUGAAUUCUAGAGUGAUUGUGACCAGGUCAUGAGCAUGUAACCUAGAAAUAGAAAAGCUGGAUUUUGAAUUCUGGUCUCUAGGAUGCUAAAUGUCAUCCAGUGUCAGUAGGUGAGUAAAGCGAUAGAAGGAAGCAUUAAUUGUCUCUGAAGAACUCUGCAGCUACUGUCCAUGGUUUUAUAAAAAUGGGAAUUUUGGGAGUUCCCAUUUUGGCACAGUGGAAAUUAACAAGACUAGUAUCCAUGAGGAUAAGAGUUCGAUCCCUGGCCUCGCUCAGUGGGUUGGGGAUCAUGCAUUGCUCUGAGCUGUGGCGUAGGUUGCAGACUGAGCUCAGAUCCCUUAUUGCUAUGGCUAUGGCUUAGGCUGGCAGCUGCAGCUCUGGUUUGACCCUUCGCCUGGGAACUUCCGUUUGCUGUGGGUGUGGCCCUUAAAAAAAAAAAAAAAAAAAA
Molecule: long non-coding RNA, 4229 nt
Filed under: Sus scrofa (pig)
Lineage: Eukaryota; Metazoa; Chordata; Mammalia; Artiodactyla; Suidae
Description: lncRNA (ENSSSCG00015056063.1)
Source: RNAcentral